CCUACGGGAGGCAGCAGUGGGGAAUUUUGGACAAUGGGGGCAACCCUGAUCCAGCAAUGCCGCGUGAGUGAAGAAGGCCUUCGGGUUGUAAAGCUCUUUUGUCAGGGAAGAAACGGUGGGGGUUAAUACCUUCUGCUAAUGACGGUACCUGAAGAAUAAGCACCGGCUAACUACGUGCCAGCAGCCGCGGUAAUACGUAGGGUGCAAGCGUUAAUCGGAAUUACUGGGCGUAAAGCGUGCGCAGGCGGUUGUGCAAGACCGAUGUGAAAUCCCCGGGCUUAACCUGGGAAUGGCAUUGGUGACUGCACGGCUAGAGUGUGUCAGAGGGGGGUAGAAUUCCACGUGUAGCAGUGAAAUGCGUAGAGAUGUGGAGGAAUACCGAUGGCGAAGGCAGCCCCCUGGGAUAACACUGACGCUCAUGCACGAAAGCGUGGGGAGCAAACAGGAUUAGAUACCCUGGUAGUCCACGCCCUAAACGAUGUCUACUAGUUGUCGGGUCUUCAUUGACUUGGUAACGCAGCUAACGCGUGAAGUAGACCGCCUGGGGAGUACGGUGCAAGAUUUAAAAACCNGAAAGUAAUGACGACGUGAGACGNGCGAGACGACGACGAGGAGAGG
Molecule: ribosomal RNA, 618 nt
Filed under: uncultured bacterium
Lineage: Bacteria
Description: bacterial SSU rRNA
Rfam family: Bacterial small subunit ribosomal RNA
Source: RNAcentral